Molecule: non-coding RNA, 184 nt
Filed under: Clostridium celatum
Lineage: Bacteria; Bacillati; Bacillota; Clostridia; Eubacteriales; Clostridiaceae
Description: T-box sequence
Rfam family: T-box leader
About the family: Uncharged tRNA acts as the effector for transcription antitermination of genes in the T-box leader family.
Source: RNAcentral
AGUAAAGCAUUGAAGAAGAAUAGUAGAAAUCGCCUUAUUCAGAGAGAAAAUCCAUAGGCUGUAAGAUUUUCAAAUAGAUUUUGAACCAGCUUCUGAGUUGUAGGUAAAAACUAUCGGUUUAACACCGUUAUCAUUAUUAGAGCACAAAUUUAGGUGGUACCGCGGAUAUAAGUUCGCCCUAAUU